Felis catus (domestic cat) is the source of this 3611-nucleotide long non-coding RNA. RefSeq lists it as uncharacterized. NCBI's taxonomy places the organism in Eukaryota, Metazoa, Chordata, Mammalia, Carnivora, Felidae. The transcript is spliced from 5 exons. The record is from RefSeq and is a predicted model, not a curated record.
AGAAAAGAGAAAGGAAAAGAAAAAGGAAAAGAAAAAAAGGACAUCCUGGAAACUCCCACUGAAUCAUCAGGUGAAGGUAAGAAGCUGAAACAUUAACAUGAGCUGCCCUUUCUCACACACCUGAGGAUAACUAAGUUAUUGGGGCUUAUGUGUCCCCCUGCACUGGCCUGUGAGCUCCUCUUUGGGCACCAACCCUCUUAGGACCUUGUUCUCUGCACCUAAACAGUUCCUGGCACAUGUGGGUGCUCGAUAAAUGAAUAAAUGCAUAAACACAAGCUGUUUGUCUGCACAGAGGUGACUGGUAGAACUAAAAAUGUCUCAGAAGUACCUAACUUGGGGGUCAGUCUAUGAUACGUGUGAAUGUGCCUUUAUUUAGGUAAUGUCGAAGACUUUAAAAUGUGCCAUGGUCAGUAAGGGUUAAGAAAGUCCUGCCUGAUACCUAACGACUUGCUUUUUAGUUUUUUUAUCGCACACACAUACGAAUAGCCGCACACCUUCGUUUUGGAUUGUAGCUCAUGCUUAGAAACCUUUUGCAAAUUUUCAGCGUUGUUACAGACCAUUUCCCGUAGGGUCCCUUAGGGGAAGCCAAUUGCGUCCUAGUUUAGAAAUGCCCAUUGUUCAGCGGGGCCACAGUACACAUGCUUUCAAAAUUCAAGGGCAUAGUUACAAAUAAUUACCAUCAAAGGAUUUAAAAUGAAGGACAUUGUCGCUAAAUAAGAAACUAAUGACUGAGCAGAGCUGUGUAAUGUAAUUAUACUUAAGAUGGGCCUUCUGAUGAAUCACAGAGGAAUCUUUGUGCUGCCUUGUGUCUCCAUAAAUGCACUUAACUGCUAUUGACAGUAAUAGGAGGGAGUCAAAUAUAAAAAGCUUUUUUUUUUCCUUUUCCAGUUUCUAGAGGGAGUUAGAAAGAAAAAGUACAUUUUUAAAAAGGAUGCUUUGCCCAGUACCUCUGAAUACUUGACAAUUAUAUGAAAUUAUUAAACGAAAGUCACUUAAAUGAAAACCAAGCCCACUGCUAAUAAAUUCAGGGUUCUCUAUCAUUAACAACCCCCUGAAUCUUAUGGUCAGUUUCCAUUCUGCACAGCAAAUCUCUUAAACUUACAUAUUAAGUGUUUCUAUGAACCUAAUUUUUAUUUACUUAAUUCAUGCCUGAAGCCUUCAUUAGAAGUGUUUUCUUAUUAAAAUCGGGGGUGAGCCUGGCUCCCUGCUGUACAAUUUUAACACAUUUGAAAGGGAAAAUGUUUUAUUGAUUAAUAUCUGAUACUUAGGCAAAGCCAAUAGUGAUGCCUUCCCUUUGAAUAUUUCUUGACGGUUUUCAUCUUGAUUGCGCAUACAUCAUCCCAGCUACUCCUCAUAAUAAAUUGGGUGAGGGAGGCCUGAGAGGGAGUACAAUCCCACUCUACAAGAUACAAAAACCAUGGCUCCAAGAGUAUAAGUAACUGGCCUAAGAUUGUGUAGCUGAAACACGGAGGCGGUACCACUCCACUGCCUCUCCCUAAAUAAAUUCAAUUAGCUUGUUUGUGCAACAGAGGAUGAUUCAUUAGUUUGCUAAUUGCUCUCUCCUCCAUGGUUCCCUUCUUUAGCAGAUGUAUAAAUAUCUAGGAGGCCCCUUCUGAUGCUCAUUGGUUGAUGAACGUACUGUGUUAUUUCUGUUGGCAAGCACAGUGGUAAAGUGAGAAGGCCUUGAGCCAUGGAGUCACUGAGUUCUUCUUCAGAUCACUGCUUCACUACUUACUAAUUGACAUGGUCUCACUAGCCAGAUUGUGCAUUGCUGCCAUUAGGGACUGCCAAAACUGGCCUGGAGACCUCAUGAUGCACUGAGACUGGGCCUGCUGCUAUUCCAGUGAAAUCAGGUUCUGUCAUAACAGGUUUUCCUUGGGAGAAAAGAGCCAUGGUCAACUAAGUUUGGAACACAGAUUUUAUUUGAGAGUCAGAAGCAUAAGUGGCAAUAAGGACUCUGAGAGCAAGAGAAAUGUGAGCUGUAACUUCACUGGGGCAGCAAGAGACCAUAAUUAUCACACGGGCAGCAAGAUACUAAGGAGUUGACCCUGCAAACUGCAUCAUCCAGGAUCUUUUUGCCCUCUGGCUUCCAGCGUGGUUCAGCCGACAAGAGGAGUGUUACGGGGAUGCUUCAUAGAGGAGGUGGAAUUAGAGCAAAUUCUGAAAUUUUAAUUCCAGUUUGCAAAUUCCCUUCAAUUAAGUCAUGACCUCUUUAUGGACAAAUGUCCACUUGGACCAGCGAGAAAACAGAUGGAAAAUUACCAGCCCAAGUCGGGGCAUAAAAUAGAAGUAUUAAAUGUUUCCUCUUCUGUAUUUUUUUUAAUUGAGGUAAAAUAGUUUGCAACUAUUAACACUUUCUAAUUCCAAAAGGCCUUCAUCAUUCCACAAAGAAUCACUACACCCAUUGAACAGUCAUUGGCCAUUCCCCUCUCCCCACAGCACCUUGCAACCACUAAUCGGCCUUCCGUGUCUAUGGCCUUUAGUGUCUUGCUUCCUUCGCACAGCAUAGUGUUUCAAGGUUCCUCCAUGUUGUAGUAUGAAUCAGUACUUUAUUCCUGAUGAAUAUCCCAUUGAAUAUGUAUGCCACAUUUUAUUUAUGCAUUCAUCUCUUGGUGGACACUGGGUUGUUUCCACAUUUUGGCUAUUGUAAAUAGUGCCGCUAUAAACAUUCGCACAUAAUUUUUUUUAUUUAAAACUUGUCUAUAUGAUAUAUUCAUGUCAUCCGUGACUAGAGAUAGCUUGGCCUCUUCCUUUCCAAUUUGGAAUGUCUUUUCUUUCUUUUUCCAUCCUUGUCGCUCUGGCUAGAACUUCCAGUACAAUGGUGAAUAGAAGUGUCAGGAGCAGACAUCCUUGUCUUGUUUCUGAUCUUAGGGAAAGCUUUCAGUCUCUCACACUGAGUGGGAUUUUCCUAGAUGCACUUUAUCACGUUGAAGAAGUUGCCUUUAUUCCUACUUUUCUGAGUAUUUUUAUCAUGAAAGAUGAUUGAAUUUUGUCAAAUGCUUUUUCUGCAUCAAUUGUGAUGAUUGUGUGGCUUUUUCCCUUUUGUCUAUUAAUAUGGUAAAAUAUAUUGAUUGUUUUUCCUAUGCUGGACCAUCCUUGCAUUCCUGGGAUAGAUUCCACAUGGGUAUGGGAUAUAGUCCUUUAAAUAUGCUGUUAGAUUCGGUUUGCUUGUAUUUUGUUAGGGACUUUUGCACCUAUAUUCAUAAGGGAUAUUGCCCUACCACUUUAUUUUCUUGUGAUGUCUUUGUCUGGUUUUCAUAUCAGGGCAAUACUGGCUUCAUAGAAUAAAGUGUUCCCUCCUUCUAUUUUUUGGAAGACUUUCAGAAGGAUUGGUUUUAUGUCUUAAAACAAACAGUAAGCUCUACCAGUGAAGCCAUCAAGUCUUGAGCUUUUCUUUGUUGGAGGCGUUUGAUUAUUGAUUCAAUCUCCUCAUUUUAGGUCUAUUUAGAUUUUCUAUUUUUCUUCUUGAGUCAGUUUUGAUAGUUGAUGUGUGUGUAGUUUGUGUGUUUUGAGGAAUUUGUCUAUUUCAUCUAGGUUAUCCAAUUUGUUGAUAUAUAAGUGUCCAUUGAUUGAUGAAUAUAUAAAGAAGAUGUGAUUGAUAUAUGCAUAUA